RNAcentral lists this ribosomal RNA (194 nucleotides) under uncultured Erwinia sp. RNAcentral's name for it is "partial 16S ribosomal RNA". It matches the Rfam family "Bacterial small subunit ribosomal RNA", at positions 338 to 524 of the family's 1533-position model. The record is from RNAcentral. Lineage: Bacteria; Pseudomonadati; Pseudomonadota; Gammaproteobacteria; Enterobacterales; Erwiniaceae.
CCUACGGGAGGCAGCAGUGGGGAAUAUUGCACAAUGGGCGCAAGCCUGAUGCAGCCAUGCCGCGUGUAUGAAGAAGGCCUUCGGGUUGUAAAGUACUUUCAGCGGGGAGGAAGGCGAUGAGGUUAAUAACCUCGUCGAUUGACGUUACCCGCAGAAGAAGCACCGGCUAACUCCGUGCCAGCAGCCGCGGUAAU